RNAcentral lists this ribosomal RNA (336 nucleotides) under Klebsiella pneumoniae. Its description in RNAcentral is "bacterial LSU rRNA". It matches the Rfam family "Bacterial large subunit ribosomal RNA", at positions 1097 to 1432 of the family's 2925-position model. The record is from RNAcentral. Lineage: Bacteria; Pseudomonadati; Pseudomonadota; Gammaproteobacteria; Enterobacterales; Enterobacteriaceae.
GAUGUUGGCUUAGAAGCAGCCAUCAUUUAAAGAAAGCGUAAUAGCUCACUGGUCGAGUCGGCCUGCGCGGAAGAUGUAACGGGGCUAAACCAUGCACCGAAGCUGCGGCAGCGACACUAUGUGUUGUUGGGUAGGGGAGCGUUCUGUAAGCCUGCGAAGGUGACCUGUGAGGGUUGCUGGAGGUAUCAGAAGUGCGAAUGCUGACAUAAGUAACGAUAAAGCGGGUGAAAAGCCCGCUCGCCGGAAGACCAAGGGUUCCUGUCCAACGUUAAUCGGGGCAGGGUGAGUCGACCCCUAAGGCGAGGCCGAAAGGCGUAGUCGAUGGGAAACAGGUUA